AAAUAUUUUGUUGAGAAUAAGCAUACCAAAAUAGCUUUGAGCUAGUAGUUUACAUGAUCAAAGUCGAUGUAUAGCCCCGUCUCAGGGGGCUUUCAUAUUUGUACUAAUAUCUGUGCCUAAGAGAUCUUGUAGCACAUGGCAAUUAAAUUUGGGAAAGCUUUGAACAAAAUAUGGGAACCGCCAUAACAUGAAAACGGUAAACCACUUGUAAGUGGUAAUUCAGGUACUUCGCUGAACUUUAUCUCGUGGAAGCAUGUGAGCAUGAUGGGGGAGUAUUAUGCUUUAUCACUAGGCAAAAUUAUGAUCUUAGGGUAUUUUAUGGGAACAUGUAAGCAUGAUAGGGAUUUGGGAAAUAUUCUACUUCUUUACUUGGGCAAAACCAUGACUUAUAUGAUCUUUGAUGGGAUUUAUGUAAUCACAACAUCAUCUUGGAAGCUGCACAACUUCUGCAUAUGUGCUUAGACUUGAAAUAUGACAUUAUUAAUAAACGAAGCUGCACACCUUCUGCAUAUGUGCUAGGGCUUGAAAUACAACUUGAAUUAUGUUACUUG
Molecule: long non-coding RNA, 551 nt
Filed under: Salvia miltiorrhiza (redroot sage)
Lineage: Eukaryota; Viridiplantae; Streptophyta; Magnoliopsida; Lamiales; Lamiaceae
Description: long non-coding RNA (SMIL_LNC004605)
Source: RNAcentral